Long non-coding RNA from Piliocolobus tephrosceles (Ugandan red Colobus), 2187 nucleotides. NCBI's taxonomy places the organism in Eukaryota, Metazoa, Chordata, Mammalia, Primates, Cercopithecidae. The record is from Ensembl.
CUCUUUUUUCACUAUUUUAAAGUAUCUCAAACUUAUAUGCUACGUAUAUGAACGUGGAAACUACACCGACUGUUAUGUUAUUACAUUUGUUUUUUUAUCAAGCUUACCUAUAUUACUCUCCCCCCCCCACACACACACACACACACCUCUAUUUAUCACUCUUAUCUGUUUUUAUCACAUGUAUUAGCCCUAUUACAUAUACUAGAUCUACUGUUUAAACCAAUUUAUACUAUAUUGACCAAUUCGCUAGUUGCAUUAACAAACAUUCGUAACAAACAUUCGUAACAAACAUUAUGUACCAAACACAGUAGUAAAAUCAACCUUUUUUUUUUUUUUUUUUUUUUAUUUUUUUAACUCGUACUUUGUCAUGGUAGGAUUUAAAACAAACUUUUUUAUAUACUUUGUUUGUUUUGUAACAAUUUUUAACAUAUAUCCAUUAUGUACAAACACAACAAAUGAACAAAAAGGAAAAAAAAAAAUUUUUUUUUUUUUUUUUUUUUUACGUAAUACAUUAAAUAAAAGACAUAGUAAUAACAUUAAAAAAAAGUAUGCCAACAAAAAAGUCAUAGUUAAUUUAAUAAAAGGAACUAGAGUGUUUAAUCCGAUUGAUUAUGAAAAAAGAGAAUUUAUUUUUACUCUAUGGAAAAAAAUAGCACAACAAUUUGCGUAUACAUUUUAUGAUUUCCCUAUAUUAGAUAAUUAUAAUUUGUUUAAAAAAAGCCAAAUAAACGAAGCUUAUGAUUUUUACAAACAUAACAGACAUUUGAUACUACGUCCAGAGAUAACACCACAAAUAGUUAGCUAUUUAUUUUUUAAAAAUGGUUUUUUAAGUGAGUAUCCGAAGGACAUGUUAUCAGGGAGUACUACUACUGCUACUACUGCUACUACUGCUACUACUACUACUACUACUGCUACUACUACUACUACUACUACUACUACUAAUACUAAUACUACUACCAUCAUGAGCCCAAUCGACAAAAGUACCCGCAAUAGUAACAACACUCGUGACACGGUAAAAAAUGUAUACAUAUUAAAAAAUUUAAAAAAAGUGUUAAAAGUUUGUACAAUAGGACAAUGUUAUCGGUAUGAAAAAAUUAGCCACAACAGAAAAAGAGAACAUUAUCAAUGGAACAUAGACCUAUACGGAAUAAAUAAUACAAAUGCAGAAAUUGAAAUUCUAACUAUUUUGAUUUCCUUUUUUCAAAAAGUAAAUUUAUCACAUAAUGAUAUAAUAAUUAAAAUUAAUAAUAAGAAAAUAAUAGAAUUCAUUAUUAACCGAAUAUUUAAAAAAACUCUAGCUAAUUUUUCUUUUAAUUAUAUAAAUAAAAUUAUGAUAAAAGAAAUAUUACAUAUACUGGAUAAAUAUAAAAAAAUAACAUCCUAUAAUUUUAAAUUGUUAUUAAAAAAAAAAAUACCAUAUAUACAAAAUGAACAUAUUUCUCACUUUAAUAACAUACUUACAAACGUUCAAAAUAUGAAUGACAUAAAAAAACUACUUAAUUAUAAUGUAUUCAUUUAUAAUGACUUAAAAAAUAUACUUUCUUAUUUUUAUCAAAUCAAUUUGCAUCCCUUUUUUGAAGUCGAUUUGACAACUGUUAGGGGGCUGGACUAUUAUAACAACACUAUUUUUGAAGCUUUUUAUAAAAAUAAAAACAUGAGGUCUAUAUGUGGUGGAGGAAGAUACGAUUUUUAUAUAAGCGAUGUAUUUUGCGGGGCUACAUCAUGUGCUAACCCUCCAACAAAAAACGUACCCGCGGUUGGCUUUGGUAUGGGAGACGUUGUAAUAACAGACAUACUGUUUAAUUACAAAAAAAAGCAAUUACCUCAAAUUUAUAACAACAAAAUAAAUGUUGUUACAUACUUUCCAUUUUUUAAUCAUACAAAUGUUAAUAAUCAAAAUGUAUAUAAAGAAUAUUAUAAUAUUCUACAUAUUUUAAGAAAUAAUAAUGUAAAAAUAUAUUCGCUAUUGCAAAAUAAUUUGACUCUAUCCAAAGCGUUAAAAAAGGCUAAUUCAUUACAAUCUAAUUAUUUUUUUUUUUUCAAUCCAACGUCUAACAUUUUUAUAUUAAAAAAUUUAUUAACAGGGAAACAGCUACCCGUUCAUUCGGAAAAUGUUCUUUCGAUAUAUAACUCGGUUUGGUAAAGUGCUUUUUAUAAUACCCGCCAGUAAAUACGCUCAUCAACACA